GACGAACGCUGGCGGCGUGCUUAACACAUGCAAGUCGAACGGAAAGGCCCUGCUUGUAGGGUACUCGAGUGGCGAACGGGUGAGUAUCACGUGGGUGUUCUGCACUGCACUUCGGGGUAAGACUUGGAAACUGGGUCGAUUACCGCGUAGGAGACAUUUUUCGUGAGAUGGGUGGAUAGUAUUUUCGGUGUAGUAGGAGCUCGCGGCCUAUCUGCCUGUUGGUGGGGUAAUGGCCUACCAAGGCGGGGACGGGUAGCCGGCAUGAGAGGGUGGACGGCCAAAUUUGGACUGAGAUACGGCCCAGACUCCUACGGGAGGCAGCAGUGGGGAAUAUUGCACAAUGGGCACAAGCCUGAUGCCGGCACCCCGCGGGGGGGAUGACGGCCUUCGGGUUGUAAACUCCUUUUGCUAUGUACGAAACUAUUUGUGACGGUACCUAGAAAAGAAGCACCGGCUAACUACGUG
This 465-nucleotide ribosomal RNA is filed under the name uncultured bacterium. RNAcentral's name for it is "partial 16S ribosomal RNA". It matches the Rfam family "Bacterial small subunit ribosomal RNA", at positions 28 to 507 of the family's 1533-position model. The record is from RNAcentral.